GCCAGCGUGGCGUAGUGGUUUGAGUGCUGGACUAUGACUCUGGAGACCAGGGUUCGAAUCCUGCCUCAGCCA
RNAcentral lists this transfer RNA (72 nucleotides) under Phrynosoma platyrhinos (Desert horned lizard). RNAcentral's name for it is "tRNA-OTHER". The record is from RNAcentral. Lineage: Eukaryota; Metazoa; Chordata; Lepidosauria; Squamata; Phrynosomatidae.